RNAcentral lists this ribosomal RNA (254 nucleotides) under uncultured bacterium. RNAcentral's name for it is "partial 16S ribosomal RNA". It matches the Rfam family "Bacterial small subunit ribosomal RNA", at positions 524 to 776 of the family's 1533-position model. The record is from RNAcentral.
UACGUAGGGUGCGAGCGUUGUCCGGAAUUACUGGGCGUAAAGAGCUCGUAGGUGGUUUGUCGCGUUGUUCGUGAAAACCGGGGGCUUAACCCUGAGCUUGCGGUCGAUACGGGCAUGACUGGAGUUCGGCAGGGGAGACUGGAAUUCCUGGUGUAGCGGUGAAAUGCGCAGAUAUCAGGAGGAACACCGGUGGCGAAGGCGGGUCUCUGGGCCGAUACUGACGCUGAGGAGCGAAAGCGUGGGGAGCGAACAGG